Schistosoma mansoni is the source of this 46-nucleotide non-coding RNA. NCBI's taxonomy places the organism in Eukaryota, Metazoa, Platyhelminthes, Trematoda, Strigeidida, Schistosomatidae. The record is from Rfam.
AUACUGCUGAGGAGUCGCACAAUAAGUCGAAACGGCCGUCCAGUGC